UUGAACGAUGAUGGAAAGGGAAAAAUGGACUCGUAACCUCUGGAAAAGGAUUGGUUCUUACAGCUAGACAUGGGGGUCCCACGCCCAAACUCAUCCGCUAUCGGCAGACUACCCGAGCUGCUCCCACGAUAAUACCGGGUCACUACGUGCUGACCGAGGGAUGGAAUGGGAAUGUCCCCUCAGGGGCAUUCCCCGGGCGUUUAAUAGUCGACUCAGAACUGGAACAGACAAGGGGAAUACGAUAGUUUAAUUAAAACAAAUCAUUGCGAUGGUCACUACAGAUGUUUACGCAAUGUGAUUUCUGCCCAACGCACUGAAUGACAAAGUGAAGAAAUUCAACAAAGAGAGGGUAAGCGGCACGAGUAGCUAUGACUCUCUUAAGGUAGCCAAAUGCUUCAUCAUCUAAUUAGUGAUGCACAUGAAUGGAUUAACGAGAUGCCCACUAUCCUUGUCUACUAUCGAGCGCGACCACAACAAAGGGAACGGGCUG
Molecule: non-coding RNA, 490 nt
Filed under: Cephalotus follicularis
Lineage: Eukaryota; Viridiplantae; Streptophyta; Magnoliopsida; Oxalidales; Cephalotaceae
Description: Eukaryotic large subunit ribosomal RNA
Rfam family: Eukaryotic large subunit ribosomal RNA
Source: Rfam by way of RNAcentral